AUGAACGCUGGCGCGUGCCUAAUACAUGCAAGUCGCGCGAACAGACGAGGAGCUUGCUCCUCUGACGUUAGCGGCGGACGGGUGAGUAACACGUGGAUAACCUACCUAUAAGACUGGGAUAACUUCGGGAAACCGGAGCUAAUACCGGAUAAUAUAUUGAACCGCAUGGUUCAAUAGUGAAAGACGGUUUUGCUGUCACUUAUAGAUGGAUCCGCGCCGCAUUAGCUAGUUGGUAAGGUAACGGCUUACCAAGGCGACGAUGCGUAGCCGACCUGAGAGGGUGAUCGGCCACACUGGAACUGAGACACGGUCCAGACUCCUACGGGAGGCAGCAGUAGGGAAUCUUCCGCAAUGGGCGAAAGCCUGACGGAGCAACGCCGCGUGAGUGAUGAAGGUCUUCGGAUCGUAAAACUCUGUUAUUAGGGAAGAACAAAUGUGUAAGUAACUAUGCACGUCUUGACGGUACCUAAUCAGAAAGCCACGGCUAACUACGUG
RNAcentral lists this ribosomal RNA (495 nucleotides) under uncultured bacterium. Its description in RNAcentral is "partial 16S ribosomal RNA". It matches the Rfam family "Bacterial small subunit ribosomal RNA", at positions 29 to 507 of the family's 1533-position model. The record is from RNAcentral.